AAAUGCACUUCACAGACCUGUCUUUCCAGUAUCCUCCACAGAUCUAGCUUUUAGAGCCCCUUGCUCAGUCCCUCCAGGGUAGAGCAAUAUCAGGAACUGACUUUGCUCUCCCCACUGUUGUCAGUGUAUACAGCUUAUUUGUGGCUUUAAAUGAACUCUGAUCUUGUGCAAGUCAAAUCCUUUAGACAGCAAGUGAAAAAACCCUAAAGGACCAUGUGUGAACCUUAGCGUCCGUGGUUCUUGAUAAGUUAGCAUCUUUUGUUACUGAUGCUUGACAUUUUUGAAACUGUUAAAGGGAAAAAAAUUAUGAAGAAUUGAGUUUACUUUUCUUAGGUAACAGUUUAAAAUAACUUUAAAUUAAAAGCUCCCUAAAGGGAAUAAAUUACAGAGAAGACAAAUCAGGAGGAAACCUUGCAGGAUGCUGGAACAGUUACUUUGAAAAUCUAUCUAAAAUUUAAUUCAUGCAUGUCUUUACUUAAUCCUGGUGUUUCUAUCCUUAGGAAAUAGAGCUUAACAUUAAUAUAUGCAUAUAUUUUUUUACAUGUAGGAUUCUAGUUUCUAUCUUCUGAGCUCAAGAAAGCUAAACUCAACAAACAGGGUAAAAAUCUUCAACUCUCGCCUCAAAUUCAAUGGUCCUUUGUCCUGACAAAAGUUAGACUUGUCUAAUAAGCUGGUAUUUUUAGGGCAUGAUACCCUCCCAUUAAGUACUUAAACUACCACGGCAGAGAUAGGAAACCUAAGCUUUGCCCCAUGGUGAAGUAAAGAACAAAAGCCCCCUUGCCCCAGAUCUCUAGCAUGACUUGUAAAGUCUUCCUCGGCUCACAGCUUCACUGUUACUGGUCACCUCCUAACUGCUCUGUCCACCUGUACUGUCACACACCUGGAGAGGCAGGGCAGCCCUGCAAGUAAAGGACGCCCAGAGUGGAGCCCCUGGGCAGGCAGCACUCACUCCUGUGGCUCUAGUGAUUGUCCAUCUGUAUGUGGAAAGUCAGGAAGCUGAAGUGCCCAAGAGAAAUCAUGAAUCGCUGAUGACACUGUAACAGAAAUGCCCUUUGAAGCAGCUAUAACUCAUGCAAUGAGUUUUAAAAACAGAGACUGGUUUUAAUCUUUGAAAACAAUGUCUGGUUCGUCAGAAUGUUUGUUGCUGUUCUUCCCCACCCAUUAUUUGUAUGACAUAACCACUGUGACAGGGUGCAGUGUCUCUUCGCCCCCCCAGGAUUUUCCUAGUAGUUUCUGUUAGGACAGCUGCCACGGCAGAUCCUCCUAAGACAGCAGCAGAGCGGUGGACGUGUGCCUGCAGAGCGGUGGAAAGGGUGAUCGGUGGGCAGCUCAUCUAAUGCCAGCACAUUUGACUCUUGUCCUUGACUCGGGCUGAAUAACGAGGUUGAAAUAUGGAUUUGGGAGAGCAACAGGCUAUGGAAUGAUGACGAAGACUGUCAUUUCAAACAAAGCAAAAGAAACAGGUUUUCUACCCCCACCUUGCUAUGACACAUGGAGCUGUGUGCUAGCUGAAAUGGGCUGUCAGAAGUGACUGUGGGGACUGAGCACCUCUACUAACAUUUCUUGUCUGUCCUAGCAUCCUUUCUACUUCUAACGAGUCAUUCUUUUGCUUUAAAUGAAGUGAAGAAUGAUGAGUAACAGAGGGACGACAUAGCAGUAGGAAAAAGACCUAAAGUGCACCAACCCCUUGCAGGGCUCAGCUGAUUUCUGUGAAAUAAACUAUUUUAAAUGUUAAUUAUGCUAAGAGCACCUCUAAAAAUUAUGUCUUAAAUUUCAAGUUUCACUUUUGGAAACUACUCCUGAAAAGACAUUGAAUAUAGGUGGGAAAGUAUAAAAUGUUUCUGACACAAUGACUCAGUAUUAUUCAGUGUUUAAUCUCAAAUUCGUUAUAACACAAGUGUCAUCAGUGGGUUAAAACGUUGGAUGUUUUUGUUAAUAUACUUAAAACUGUAACCAGUGAAUAACACCGUAGUAUUUUUUAUUAUAGAUUAUAUUUUAUUUCAAUAAACUUUGAUAUUUAGACUGAAAA
This 2029-nucleotide long non-coding RNA is filed under the name Rattus norvegicus (Norway rat). RNAcentral's name for it is "long non-coding RNA NONRATT027845". The record is from RNAcentral. Lineage: Eukaryota; Metazoa; Chordata; Mammalia; Rodentia; Muridae.